This 680-nucleotide ribosomal RNA is filed under the name uncultured anaerobic ammonium-oxidizing bacterium. RNAcentral's name for it is "bacterial SSU rRNA". It matches the Rfam family "Bacterial small subunit ribosomal RNA", at positions 585 to 1254 of the family's 1533-position model. The record is from RNAcentral.
AAGUCAGAUGUGAAAGCCUUCUGUUCAACGGAAGAAUUGCAUCUGAAACUACAAGUCUUGAGUGUAGGAGGGGAGAAUGGAACUUCUGGUGGAGCGGUGAAAUGCGUAGAUAUCAGAAGGAACGCCGGCGGCGAAAGCGAUUCUCUGGCCUAUUACUGACACUCAGUGUGCGAAAGCUAGGGGAGCAAACGGGAUUAGAUACCCCGGUAGUCCUAGCCGUAAACGAUGGGCACUAAGUAGAGGGAAUUACCGAUGUUCUCUCUGCCGUAGCUAACGCAUUAAGUGCCCCGCCUGGGGAGUACGGCCGCAAGGCUAAAACUCAAAAGAAUUGACGGGGGCUCGCACAAGCGGUGGAGCAUGUGGCUUAAUUCGAUGCAACGCGAAGAACCUUACCGGGGCUUGACAUGGUAGAAGUAGGAACCCGAAAGGGUAACGAACGGUAUCCAGUCCGUAACUAUCACAGGUGUUGCAUGGCUGUCGUCAGCUCGUGUCGUGAGACGUUGGGUUAAGUCCCCUAACGAGCGAAACCCUUGUUUUUAGUUACCAGCGGGUUAUGCCGGGUACUCUAGAAAGACUGCCGUCGUCAAGACGGAGGAAGGUGGGGAUGACGUCAAGUCAUCAUGGCCCUUAUGCCCCGGGCUGCACACGUGCUACAAUGGUCGGUACAAACGGAAGCGAAG